This 502-nucleotide ribosomal RNA is filed under the name uncultured bacterium. Its description in RNAcentral is "partial 16S ribosomal RNA". It matches the Rfam family "Bacterial small subunit ribosomal RNA", at positions 28 to 507 of the family's 1533-position model. The record is from RNAcentral.
GAUUAACGCUGGCGGCGUGCCUAACACAUGCAAGUCGAGCGGCAGCGCGUUUUACACUGAAUUCUGGAAGCUUCUAGUUGAAAGAGAAGAUUUAUUCAAGAAUUUUGUGUAAAAUGUCGGCGAGCGGCGGACGGCUGAGUAACGCGUGGGAACGUACCCCAAAGUGAGGGAUAACGCAUCGAAAGGUGUGCUAAUACCGCAUAUGGUCUUCGGAUUAAAGCCUUCGGGCGCUUUGGGAACGGCCUGCGUAAGAUUAGAUAGUUGGUGGGGUAAUGGCCUACCAAGUCGACGAUCUUUAACUGGUUUGAGAGGAUGAUCAGUCAGACUGGAACUGAGACACGGUCCAGACUCCUACGGGAGGCAGCAGUGAGGAAUCUUCCACAAUGGGCGAAAGCCUGAUGGAGCAACGCCGCGUGCAGGAUGAAGGCCUUCGGGUUGUAAACUGCUUUUAUAAGUGAGGAUUAUGACAGUAACUGAUGAAUAAGGAUCGGCUAACUACGUG